GGCCUCGUAGAUCAGUUGGUAGAGUGUUCGCGUACAAAGCGUCGGCGGCGUCCAUGCGUGGGUUCGAAUCCCACCGAGGCUA
This is a non-coding RNA of Echinostoma caproni, 82 nucleotides long. The record is from Rfam. Lineage: Eukaryota; Metazoa; Platyhelminthes; Trematoda; Plagiorchiida; Echinostomatidae.